UCAAACAAGUUGAUCAGGAAAGUAAAAAGUAACUUUAGCCUAGAGACUUACCGGUUGGUGCAAGGUAAGGUAAAGAAGCUUUUGAAAAUGACCUGUGAUUGGCAACUACGAAUCGGUUUACCGUUAGUAGUUGACGGACUGGCCCUCGUUACUUGGGCACACCAUUCGGCUAGGAUCAUUCCCCGGGGCCCGAUGGUUAGUGAGCAGCCUAAAGGCAACUUUUGGCUAAAACUCAGAAUGGUAACGCGAAAGUCGCUUCUGUC
Molecule: non-coding RNA, 263 nt
Filed under: Fructobacillus sp.
Lineage: Bacteria; Bacillati; Bacillota; Bacilli; Lactobacillales; Lactobacillaceae
Description: T-box sequence
Rfam family: T-box leader
About the family: Uncharged tRNA acts as the effector for transcription antitermination of genes in the T-box leader family. T-boxes are found upstream of many aminoacyl-tRNA synthetase genes and some amino acid biosynthetic genes usually in Gram-positive bacteria.
Source: RNAcentral